This 390-nucleotide ribosomal RNA is filed under the name uncultured bacterium. RNAcentral's name for it is "bacterial SSU rRNA". It matches the Rfam family "Bacterial small subunit ribosomal RNA", at positions 29 to 420 of the family's 1533-position model. The record is from RNAcentral.
AUUGAACGCUGGCGGCAUGCUUUACACAUGCAAGUCGAACGGCAGCACGGGGGCAACCCUGGUGGCGAGUGGCGAACGGGUGAGUAAUGCAUCGGAACGUACCCAGUCGUGGGGGAUAACGCAGCGAAAGUUGUGCUAAUACCGCAUACGACCUGAGGGUGAAAGCGGGGGACCGUAAGGCCUCGCGCGAUUGGAGCGGCCGAUGUCUGAUUAGCUAGUUGGUGGGGUAAAGGCCCACCAAGGCGACGAUCAGUAGCGGGUCUGAGAGGAUGAUCCGCCACACUGGGACUGAGACACGGCCCAGACUCCUACGGGAGGCAGCAGUGGGGAAUUUUGGACAAUGGGGGCAACCCUGAUCCAGCCAUGCCGCGUGCGGGAAGAAGGCCUCGG